This 643-nucleotide long non-coding RNA is filed under the name Nicotiana tabacum (common tobacco). RNAcentral describes it as "long non-coding RNA (NTAB_LNC001940)". Lineage: Eukaryota; Viridiplantae; Streptophyta; Magnoliopsida; Solanales; Solanaceae. The record is from RNAcentral.
AAACUAAAAAUGAACCAAACGGCGCCGCCUCUCUCUACACGCUUCUGCCCGUUGCCUCAUGCCCAAAAUCGCCAGAAAUUUGCUUUUCCGGCACGCGCUUUCAUUGGUACCCCCUCCCCUUUUCUACCUUAUCUUUCGUCCAUGUGGUCUGACAUGUAACAAACACCCACUCACUCGAAUAUUCCUUCAAAUUUUUCUUUUUCUUGACAAAUUCAAAUUCUUUUCAGAUGGGUUUUGGAAAAUUGGAGGCCGUAGGAUUAGAGUUUUUUUGAUCCUAGGUUUUCACUUGUCUAAAAUCGGUCAUUUCAAAAAAGAAUUUUUGGAUUUAAUAAAGGUUUGGAUUUUUCAGAGUUUUGGAGAAGAUUUUCGGAUGUUUGAGGUCCCCACGCGAUUUCUUGGUGAAGAAGUAUAGAAGUUUCGAGAUGGAGUAUAUAUUUUGGGCCUUUUUCUUUUAGUCGGGGGAGGCCAGUCUUUGGGAGGAAAAAUUAGAAAGCUAGGGUUUUGGUUCUGAUUUACAAUCUUCAUCUUCUACUUUUAGUUUCAUUCAUAUAAAACGUUAGUGUUUCUAUUAGUUCUUCUUUUGAUUUUUGAAACAGAAAAUAUGUAUAUGUAUAUAUAUAUGUAUAUGUAUAUGUAUAUAUAU